GACGAACGCUGGCGGCGUGCUUAACACAUGCAAGUCGAACGGAAAGGCCUCUUUCGGGGGGUACUCGAGUGGCGAACGGGUGAGUAACACGUGAGUAACCUGCCCUUGACUUUGGGAUAACUUCAGGAAACUGGGGCUAAUACCGGAUAGGAGCUCCUGCUGCAUGGUGGGGGUUGGAAAGUUUCGGCGGUUGGGGAUGGACUCGCGGCUUAUCAGCUUGUUGGUGGGGUAGUGGCUUACCAAGGCUUUGACGGGUAGCCGGCCUGAGAGGGUGACCGGCCACAUUGGGACUGAGAUGCGGCCCAGACUCCUACGGGAGGCAGCAGUGGGGAAUAUUGCACAAUGGGUGGAAGCCUGAUGCAGCAGCGCCGUGUGCGGGAUGACGGCCUUCGGGUUGUAAAACGCUUUCGCUCAUGACGAAGCUUUGUGUGACGGUAGUGGGUAAAGAAGCACCGGCUAACUACGUG
Molecule: ribosomal RNA, 467 nt
Filed under: uncultured bacterium
Lineage: Bacteria
Description: partial 16S ribosomal RNA
Rfam family: Bacterial small subunit ribosomal RNA
Source: RNAcentral